GCGGCGGACGGGUGAGUAACACGUGGGCAACCUGCCCUGCAGACUGGGAUAACUUCGGGAAACCGGAGCUAAUACCGGAUAACACCGAAAACCGCAUGGUUUUCGGUUGAAAGGCGGCUUUUAGCUGUCACUGCAGGAUGGGCCCGCGGCGCAUUAGCUAGUUGGUGAGGUAACGGCUCACCAAAGGCGACCGAUGCGUAGCCGACCUGAGAGGGUGACCGGCCACACUGGGACUGAGACACGGCCCAGACUCCUACGGGAGGCAGCAGUAGGGAAUCUUCCGCAAUGGACGAAAGUCUGACGGAGCAACGCCGCGUGAGCGAAGAAGGUCUUCGGAUCGUAAAGCUCUGUUGUCAGGGAAGAACAAGUGCCGUUCGAACAGGGCGGUACCUUGACGGUACCUGACGAGGAAGCCACGGCUAACUACGUGCCAGCAGCCGCGGUAAUAC
RNAcentral lists this ribosomal RNA (449 nucleotides) under Aeribacillus sp. G19C025X. Its description in RNAcentral is "bacterial SSU rRNA". It matches the Rfam family "Bacterial small subunit ribosomal RNA", at positions 95 to 526 of the family's 1533-position model. Lineage: Bacteria; Bacillati; Bacillota; Bacilli; Caryophanales; Bacillaceae. The record is from RNAcentral.